CCUACGGGAUGCAGCAGUGGGGAAUAUUGCACAAUGGGGGAACCUUGAUGCAGCAACGCCGCGUGGGUGAAGAAGGACUCCGGUAUGGAAAGCCUUGUCAGCAGGGAAGAAAAUGACGGUACGUGACCAAGAAGCCCCGGCUAACUACGUGCCAGCAGCCGCGGUAAUACGUAGGGGGCAAGCGUUCUCCGGAUUUACUGGGUGUAAAGGGAGCGUAGACGGCAAGGCAAGUCUGGAGUGAAAGCCCGUGGCACAACCACGUGACUGCGUUGGAAACUGUGUUGCGGGAGUGCAGGCGGGGUAAGCGGAAUUCCUAGUGUAGCGGUGAAAUGCGUAGAUAUUAGGAGGAACACCGGUGGCGAAGGCGGCUUACUGGACUGUAACUGACGUUGAGGCUCGAAGGCGUGGGGAGCAAACAGGAUUAGAUACCCUAGUAGUC
This 439-nucleotide ribosomal RNA is filed under the name uncultured bacterium. Its description in RNAcentral is "partial 16S ribosomal RNA". It matches the Rfam family "Bacterial small subunit ribosomal RNA", at positions 338 to 795 of the family's 1533-position model. The record is from RNAcentral.